RNAcentral lists this long non-coding RNA (972 nucleotides) under Numida meleagris (helmeted guineafowl). RNAcentral's name for it is "lncRNA (ENSNMEG00000012874.1)". The record is from RNAcentral. Lineage: Eukaryota; Metazoa; Chordata; Aves; Galliformes; Numididae.
AUGAGAGAGAUCCAGCGGGAAUGCACAAUGUGGAGGUGCCAGAGGCAGCAGAAACGAGCCCUAACGCCGCCCGCUCGGAAAGCUAAACGCGGAUCUCGCAAACAUCAUCUCUCUAUGAAGGUAUUUUCUCUGGAGCAAUGGGAGAAGCUGGGAUUUUCUUUGGCUCAGCCCCAGCUGGCAUUCACUGCUGUUUAUCAGACCUCCACGCUGGACAGGUGUACCCAUUGCAGAGCAAACACACAGUGUGGCAGCACACGGGAGCACUCUGAGGCAGGGCUUCAGGACAGAAGUGCCGCAAAUGUGGAGCUGCGUGGCAAAGCCCUGCGGGUCCCCACCCUGCACUGCUGCAGGUCCACGUCCCACUGCAGGCACAUCACCUCACCUCUGAGUGACUAAUGCCAGAGGGCAACAGCGGUUCGUUGUGCCGUGCACUCUGUCAGGAAGGUGCCCCAAGCUCCUGGUGACCAGAAACCCCACGAGAGAAGAACUUUCUGGUGAACCUCCUGCUUUUUGAAGAAUGUGUUGUUCUCAGCUCAGUGUGUGCGCAUGAUAAUGAGGGAUUUGGGUUUCCCCUUUGUUUGUCUUUUGCAGUGCCCAGGGGGUUGGAUGUGUAGGAGCAAGUCCUUGGCCCUUCUGCGUGAUGUUAUUCCACCAUAUUCUCUGUUUGUCAGAAGCAGCCAGGAAGGUAUUCAGGGCCCAAGAUUCCUGUGUUGCCCAAGUGUAGGAAGUUACAGCAAUGACAGGCAUCUUUCCUACUCAUUAUCUGAAAGAUCAUGAAACAGAGAUAACAAUAACAGAAAUAAUGGCAGUCAGUGAGAAAUGAAGUUGUUAGUUCUCCUCUGUGUCAGAAUACCCUGCAAACUGACAAGCUACAUAUGGAAAGCAUCACGGUAGUCUGCGUAGCAAAGUACAGUCAGGGAGCACACAUGCAAUGUGCUAGGGCAUUUUUAAGCAAUAUUUAAAGGAAAAGAG